This 253-nucleotide ribosomal RNA is filed under the name uncultured bacterium. RNAcentral's name for it is "partial 16S ribosomal RNA". It matches the Rfam family "Bacterial small subunit ribosomal RNA", at positions 524 to 776 of the family's 1533-position model. The record is from RNAcentral.
UACGGAGGGUGCGAGCGUUGUCCGGAAUCACUGGGCGUAAAGGGCGCGUAGGUGGCGCAACAAGUCAACGGUGAAAGCUCGGCGCUCAACGCCGAGUCGGCCGUCGAUACUGUUGGGCUGGAGCACUGUAGAGGCAGAUGGAAUUCCGGGCGUAGCGGUGGAAUGCGUAGAGAUCCGGAAGAACACCGGUGGCGAAAGCGCUCUACUGGACUGCAACUGUCACUCAGGGACGAAAGCUAGGGGAGCGAAUGGG